This 432-nucleotide ribosomal RNA is filed under the name uncultured bacterium. RNAcentral's name for it is "partial 16S ribosomal RNA". It matches the Rfam family "Bacterial small subunit ribosomal RNA", at positions 29 to 507 of the family's 1533-position model. The record is from RNAcentral.
AACGAACGCUGGCGGCAUGCCUAACAUAUGCAAGUCGAACGAGACCUUCGGGUCUAGUGGCGCACGGGUGCGUAACGCGUGGGAACCUGCCCUUAGGUUCGGAAUAACUCCCCGAAGGGGUGCUAAUACCGGAUAAUGUCUUCGGACCAAAGAUUUAUCGCCUUUGGAUGGGCCCGCGUUGGAUUAGCUAGUUGGUAGGGUAAAAGCCUACCAAGGCGACGAUCCAUAGCUGGUCUGAGAGGAUGAUCAGCCACACUGGGACUGAGACACGGCCCAGACUCCUACGGGAGGCAGCAGUGGGGAAUAUUGGACAAUGGGCGAAAGCCUGAUCCAGCAAUGCCGCGUGAGUGAUGAAGGCCUUAGGGUUGUAAAGCUCUUUUACCCGGGAUGAUAAUGACAGUACCGGGAGAAUAAGCCCCGGCUAACUCCGUG